This 124-nucleotide small RNA is filed under the name Escherichia coli. Its description in RNAcentral is "partial RtT sRNA". The stretch from base 17 to 122 matches the Rfam family "RtT RNA", at positions 18 to 118 of the family's 130-position model. From Rfam's summary of the family: This family represents a bacterial cis-regulatory element known as RtT RNA. Lineage: Bacteria; Pseudomonadati; Pseudomonadota; Gammaproteobacteria; Enterobacterales; Enterobacteriaceae. The record is from RNAcentral.
UGCAUCUGCAGCCCAUGAGGAUGAGAACCUCCGGGGGCAGGGAGGUUCGACUCGAGCGAAGCGAGAGAACGUUGCGCCAGCAACGGCCCGCAGGGCGAGCCACGAAGUGGCGAGUAAUCCUCUA